UUGGGUUAAGUCCCGCAACGAGCGCAACCCUUGUCCAUAGUUGCCACCAUUCAGUUGGGCACUCUAUGGAGACCGCCGGUGACAAAUCGGAGGAAGGUGGGGACGACGUCAAGUCAUCAUGGCCCUUAUGACCAGGGCUACACACGUGCUACAAUGGCCAGUACAAAGGGUUGCCAACCCGCGAGGGGGAGCUAAUCCCAGAAAGCUGGUCGUAGUCCAGAUCGGAGUCUGCAACUCGACUCCGUGAAGCCGGAAUCGCUAGUAAUCGCAAAUCAGCAUUGUUGCGGUGAAUACGUUCCCGGGUCUUGUACACACCGCCCGUCACACCAUGGAAGUUGGUUGCACCAGAAGUAGGUAGCCUAACCGCAAGGAGGGCGCUUACCACUGGUGUGGCUAUGAUUGGGGUGAAGUCGUAACAAGGUACCA
Molecule: ribosomal RNA, 426 nt
Filed under: uncultured Gammaproteobacteria bacterium
Lineage: Bacteria; Pseudomonadati; Pseudomonadota; Gammaproteobacteria
Description: bacterial SSU rRNA
Rfam family: Bacterial small subunit ribosomal RNA
Source: RNAcentral